Long non-coding RNA from Polyodon spathula (Mississippi paddlefish), 467 nucleotides. RefSeq lists it as uncharacterized. Lineage: Eukaryota; Metazoa; Chordata; Actinopteri; Acipenseriformes; Polyodontidae. The record is from RefSeq and is a predicted model, not a curated record. The transcript has 5 exons.
UCUCCUCACUCGCUGUGUGUCUCUCGCUCUCCUUACAUAGCCAGCAGCUGUGUGUGGAACAGUUUGACAGCCGCACUGUCUCACCAAAGAAAGCUCAGCGCUCACUUUUUCUCUUUCUUAUUGCAGCUCUCAUUGUUUCCAGAUUCAGCAAGGGAGAGCGCAGUUCAUUUGGGCCUGUAACUGGAAUAAGAAAGCAUUGCUGUUUCUGACUGGGGAGAAGAAAGAGAGGAUUCCUCUGGGUUUCCAAAGAUAUUUAAACUGGCAGCCUUAUUUCCAAGGCAUUUGAACACAUCUAACUGGGUAUAUAGGAAAUCUUGAGGAGUUUUGCACUUUUGAUUCUCCAGUCUGAAGCUGCCCUGCUGUCAGUUUUCUUAUACUGGUGGGAAUACGAUUCAGUUGUUCUGCUGGCCAUUGAAAUGUGUACAUCUGACAGAAUGUUGGCACCUGCAUAAACUGUAAAGAAAAGC